This 263-nucleotide unclassified non-coding RNA is filed under the name plant metagenome. RNAcentral's name for it is "partial contains small subunit ribosomal RNA and internal transcribed spacer 1". The record is from RNAcentral.
AAGUCGUAACAAGGUCUCCGUAGGUGAGUAACAAGUCCAUCCAGACCUUUAAACCAUGAAUUUUUACUAAGUUCUACAGGUGAACCUGCGGAGGGAUCAUUAAAGAGUGAAGGCCUUCGGGCCGACCUCCAACCCAUUGUAAUUCAACCUGUGUUUGCCUCGGGGUCGUUGAAUUACCUCUUCGCGGAGGUUCCCCCGGUGGACCACUUAAACUCAGCUUUAUACCUGCAGUCUGACUAUUAUUGAUGAAAAUCAUAACAAAA